Cynocephalus volans (Philippine flying lemur) is the source of this 129-nucleotide non-coding RNA. RefSeq annotates it as small Cajal body-specific RNA 21. The transcript has a single exon. The record is from RefSeq and is a predicted model, not a curated record. Lineage: Eukaryota; Metazoa; Chordata; Mammalia; Dermoptera; Cynocephalidae.
AAACUCAGUUUCCUUGCAAGGGGUUGGGGGGGCCUCCGCCAAGCUUAGAAUAGAGGGGCCAGGCAUCCUCCCCUGUAGCAGAGGCAUUUAGGUAAGAAACCUCACCUUGGUGGUCCUAGCCUUGCAUUU